GGGAAGGCGAUUAUAUGUGGCCUACCAUGAAUUAUCUGCCGUUCGUCCAUGUUGUUGUUGAACGAGGUUGAAAAAAGGCAGACUAAAAGGGGAAGAACCUCGCUGGGAGCUGGACAGCUUCAAUGGCGAGCGAUUGAACUCGGUUUGCAGGUUCUACCCUCAGAUGGAAAAUACCAGAAUGGCUGCUGUGAAGUUUGACUGAAAAAGCUCAUGAUAUCAUUUGCUCAGAUGAGAUGUACAUGUAAACAGGGAACCAAGUGGAUCAGAAACUUGGAAAUCAGGAUUCACAUGUAGCAGUUAUCCAGAUCAGAUGCCAACAGGGAGAAAGUGGACUAAAUCUUCAAGCAAUUAUCUUUAGCAGGGCUGCAUGUUCUAUUUUGCAAUCCAACUCUUGGGUGAACCAGGUAAACAAAACUCUUGAAUAAGCCAAGUUCUGCUCUGAUUAUUUGACUUCAGACAUGCAGUUUGUAACUUGAUUAUUUACACAGUGAGUAAGAAAAGUUGUUAAAUCACACUAUUUUAAACCAAUCGUCCAUGAAAUUGUUAAAUUUAUCUUCUGCUGCCAAAAAUGAUGUUCAAAAGUAAGAUGUUUUUUUCAGAAUUAGAUUGCAUUUUCACCUUCAAAGAAAAUUUUUGAAUUGGCGAUUGUAUAACUUAGUGAGUAAUUAGGCUGCAGUACCAAUUGACUGGAUGAUUGACACUCUUAAAGUAGCUGUCGUCUAUCCCGUUUGUUUUAUACAUUGACAAUGAGAGAGAAUUCCAGAUAAAAGUGAGAGAAAUACAGUAUUCAAACUAUGUACAGUAACUCAAACAUAAAAAGACUGACUGAUGGACGGAUGGACUGACUGACUGACUGACUGACCGACCGACUGACCGACCAACCGAUCAACCAGCUGAACGACCAACUCACUGACUGUCUGACAAACUGACUAAUGGAUUAAGACAGACUGACUACUGACUGCUGACUGACUGGUGGACUGACAGACUGACUGACUGACUGACUGACUGACUAAUUGAUUGACUAACAUGUAUGUCUGACCACCUGAUUGGCUCAUAACUGACUGAUUGACUGAUGGACUCUUGACUAACUGACUCACUAAUUGACUCAGGACUGACUUCUUGACUGACUGACUU
Orbicella faveolata is the source of this 1134-nucleotide long non-coding RNA. The record is from RefSeq and is a predicted model, not a curated record. NCBI's taxonomy places the organism in Eukaryota, Metazoa, Cnidaria, Anthozoa, Scleractinia, Merulinidae.